Alexandromys fortis (reed vole) is the source of this 1028-nucleotide long non-coding RNA. RefSeq lists it as uncharacterized. NCBI's taxonomy places the organism in Eukaryota, Metazoa, Chordata, Mammalia, Rodentia, Cricetidae. The transcript is spliced from 3 exons. The record is from RefSeq and is a predicted model, not a curated record.
UCUUAUUUCUUACUUAUUUUCUUAUUUCUUACUAUUUACCUGGUAUUAACUGGCAAGCCUGGCUUUUAUUUGGCAACCUUAUUGUCUGAACUCUGCACAUCUCCAGAGACGGGGAGUUGGCAGGGCCAGCAGUGAGUGUCUACGGAGCUGAGAACUGCCGUGGAGACCGUGGAGACCACAAGUCACUGUCCGUUAGUGACAAAAGCCACACACGUUCUGAGAGGAUAUUUUAGGUCUCCUGGAAGAGUCACACCAUGGCUACCUUGGAAUAAAAAGAAAUCAGGCUGACUCCAAGAAGCAAGUGUUUUUGGCCAAAUGACUACACCUUGGAAUUGCAGCACUUGACCCGAAGGCAGCAUUAGUCUUUUCCAGGCCUGAUAUCUGACGAAGCUAUCACUGGGAAGUGAUGUCCCAAGGAAGGUCAUACCCACAGCACAGGGACCUGAAGCGGCCAGCAGGUCAGCACAGUGUCCUGCUGCGGGAGAGGACGCCUUUCCUUCUUCUGAAAACACUAAGGUUAUAACGUUUAUAAUGUGUAUACAUCUUUUCACAAUUUUACUUACUUUCUGAGUAGGGUUUUACUAUCUAGCUCUGACCGUCCUGGAACUCACAGAGCUCUGCCUUCCUCUGCCUCCCGAGCAUGGGGUUAGACGCAUGUGCCAUUACACCCAGCUGCACAAAAACUUUCUACGGAUACAUUCUAUAUGUAAUUUUGCCUUGAUGACCCCACUCUACGCUGUAGUACUUUUAUGACUAUGGUUUAGCCAGUGAUGUCUACCUUAGGAAAGCACCCCUCAAGCAACACUGCAUUGGAAGCCUCUUCCAUCAACACCAUCCUUAAAAUUGGGUGGUGCCUAUUUGAUAGGCUGGGAAUUUCCCAGGAUUCCCUCCUUGUGCCCGACUCACCUGCAAAGGGCCUCUCUACUCCUAGUAGACCAUCAAGACUAGGAGAUGGGGAUGAACACGGGGUUUACAUUGCAGCGUUCAGCUGCGUUCCCAGUCGACUCCGUCAAUGGUCCCCGUGCCUC